UACGUAGGGGGCAAGCGUUGUCCGGAUUUAUUGGGCGUAAAGAGCGUGUAGGCGGCUUUACAGGUCCGUUGUGAAAACUCGAGGCUCAACCUCGAGACGCCGGUGGAAACCGUGUGGCUAGAGUCCGGAAGAGGAGAGUGGAAUUCCUGGUGUAGCGGUGAAAUGCGCAGAUAUCAGGAAGAACACCCGUGGCGAAGGCGGCUCUCUGGGACGUGACUGACGCUGAGACGCGAAAGCGUGGGGAGCAAACAGG
Molecule: ribosomal RNA, 253 nt
Filed under: uncultured bacterium
Lineage: Bacteria
Description: partial 16S ribosomal RNA
Rfam family: Bacterial small subunit ribosomal RNA
Source: RNAcentral